This 1755-nucleotide long non-coding RNA is filed under the name Castor canadensis (American beaver). RNAcentral's name for it is "lncRNA (ENSCCNG00000003165.1)". The record is from RNAcentral. Lineage: Eukaryota; Metazoa; Chordata; Mammalia; Rodentia; Castoridae.
AUCUCUUUUUUUUUUUUGGGAGGGGUGGUAGACAGGUGACAAGCUGAACCAUGAGGAGCCUUCUGUCAUAUGAGGGCAACCGGACUCCUCGGAAACGAACCUACCACUGCAAAGGGCAAGGCUGCCAUUUUACUCCGAAUACAGAGCGGGGCACGUGGCUGGGCGCCCAACUCCGUGCACAUGGUCUGCAGGGCAGAAGUUUGGAACCCUGUCCUUGAACUCCGUUCUGCACCGAGGCCCAGCCUUCCACAGCCUCGGCAAGAGCGAGCGUUACCCUUGGCCGUCCGUUUCCAGCCCGGCCGCGCGCCCACGCCGGCUCGACCCCACCUACAGGAGGCACGACCUCUGACCCCGGGGGUUUCGUGCGGCGCGCGGCCUCCGAGUCCCGGCCGGCCGCUUCCGGGGGCCGCGCGCUGCGCUGUGCUGGCGGUGGGAGCCCGCGGCCGCGAGGCCGGAGCGCCGGGCGGGGGAGGGGCGGCGGCGGCGGCGGCGGGGCCGGGCGCGUGCGCGCGCACAGCUCACACUCCGCCGCCCGGGGACGCCCACUCGCGAGUCGGGGCGGCAGGCCGGCCCGCGCCCCGUCGUCCCCCAACUGGCUCCUAGCAGGCGUGCGCCCAACGAGUGUCAGCGCCGCGGCCGUUCCCCGCUCUUGUAGGCCUCCAGCGGGCUGGGGACGAGGGCCGGGCCGCAGCCACCGGGAGGCAGCGCGGAGGAGGCCCCCGUGGCAGCCCAGCGGCAGGAAGGAGACGGUGCAGACCUCCGCCCGCCCGCCUCGCCAGGGCGGAGCGAGGAAUGAGCAGGCGCCAGCCCGGGGUUCUCGGACCGAGGUCCGCGGCCCGGCUUCCUCCCACGCCGCGGAGGCGCGGGGAUUCGGGCCCGGCGGCCGGGAUCGGCUACGGAGCAGGCGCCCCGGGUCCCUGAGCUGGCCGCGGCGAGCUGGAGGAGGAGCCGAGUGGGGGCGGCCUCAGCGCUUCCCUCCCGUUCCCUCCCGUGCCGUCCCCUCCCCCGCGCGCGCCCAGGCCGCUCCGUGGCCGCGGGAGGAGGAAGUUCCGCUGGCUGACAGACGCGCGCGCGCGGCGGCGGCGGCGGCGGCUCGGAGGGCCGAGGUGUUGGGGACGCGACCGCCCCGCGUGCCAGCCGUCGAGCGGGCGGCGUCGGAGCCGAGCCCCGGAGCCCGUGGAGCGGCGGCGGCGGCGGUGGCGGCGGGACGCGCGGGUGGUCGGCCGCUCCCGCCGGCUCCUUCCACCCCCAUCCUCCCCGCGCGCGCCGGCCGCGGCUUCCCAGCGCGGUGGACACCUUCCUCCCUUGUUGGGGACUGCCGAGGCUGGGCACUGUGCGACAGAGGCGUCCCGGGAGCUCGCCAAGCUCCUUUCUGGGGCGAGGGAACCCCGAUUGAGCAUCUCGCGGGUGCAGCAAUGGAAGAAGCCACCUUGCAGCUUUUCUGCAGUGUGGCUCGCCCGGUCUGCUCCUGGGAAUGAAGAGGAGACUUAUGGCCACCCGAUGAGGUUCUGAAAGCCAGAUGGCAAGGCGCUAUUACGGGACACAAGCUGGCUGUCGCUGGAGAGGUCACCCAGGUUUUUGGGGUAAUUGGAGAGCGUGAGAGGUGCCCUCUUUUUUUUUUUUUUUUUUGAAUACAGAAAACCCCAAAAGCACAAGAAUUCUUUAGGAGGAGAACGGUUGAGUUUAUCCAUUUCUUUUUUGAAGACGGUUCCAUGUAUUGUACAUUUGGCAUAAGAUGAGAACUUUGUGAAAUAU